UGGCGACCAUAGCAAGAGUGAACCACCUGAUCCCUUCCCGAACUCAGAAGUGAAACCUCUUAGCGCUGAUGG
RNAcentral lists this ribosomal RNA (72 nucleotides) under Acinetobacter sp. 216872. RNAcentral also lists the same sequence under 2 other names. Lineage: Bacteria; Pseudomonadati; Pseudomonadota; Gammaproteobacteria; Moraxellales; Moraxellaceae. The record is from RNAcentral.